GCCCAGCGGCAGAGCUUUAACACCUCAGUGCAAAGAUCCAGUGGCCCCUACUCCUCCUUGAGAUCUUGCAAACCCCGUAGGCGGAGCCAGCCCCAGCUUGCCUAGUCUGCAAAAGCAACCUGCAAAACUGGCGGCCCUGGCAGACCCAAGCUGCGGUACUGCCCGGCACCCUGAAACCCGACUCCCGAACGGCAGCAAACCCAAGGCCAAAAGGAAGUGCAGACUUUGCUGAAGGAGGUUUCACCUCCUACGCCCUCGGCCCUGAGCCCUUGCUCUCAAGUCCCCACCCAGUCCCCGAAAGGGCUACGGGACAAAGGUGGUCGUGCCCAGCGUGUUAGCUCUUGUGACACUCCAAGUCUUUAUCCUUCCGGGACUAUGGGAAUUCCGGAAAAACCAAGGUCACCAUCAAGCCAGAUGGAGGCAGAGGCGAGGUGCUGACAGAUCUGCCUCAAAGGGAUCUAGGUGCAAAGGCUUUUCCACAAGCUGUGACAGUAGGUACCGUGGCUAACCCAACACCAUUCAGGCUCAGCCUCCCUUCCCCUCAACGACUGUCACCUUCACCGGGGAAAGCUUUGCAGCCCCAACUAAGGGCCUAACAGGGGUCUGGCCAUUCCUGGCAUCUUAAAUAGACCUCCAGGAGGUGGAUGGAGGAAUCCCAAGCCUGGGGGAAGGGUGUGUGUCCGGUGUGGAGAUGCCACCCUCUUCUUCGCCAGCGCCCCAACCCAUCCUCAUCUGGUGCAGAAAGGGCACUUACAGGUCUUGGAGGCCAGUGAGGGCCUCGUCCUGGGGGUCCCAUCCCUGGCCAAACGAUGCCCCCAACCAGCAGCGGCGGCAGGAAUUGGGCGGCCGGUCCAGGCCGAGGGUUGCGGGUCGUUGGGGGGGAGGGGAGGACGGUAGCCAAGCCUACUCCAAGUAACCAUCGAAGACAUCGAGCUCCGAGUCGGCAUCGUAGAGGCCCGAACCGGGGUCGGAGAGCACGCCGAGGUCCACGAGCGCCUGGUCCAUGUCCUCGGGCAGGAAGACGAGGCCCACAUUGAGGACAAUGUACUCCAUGAGGAAGGCGUAGUAUAGGAUCAGCACAUUGACGAAAAACAGGCCCACGUAGAACAUAGAGGGCAGCAGCGACGGCGGCACGUAGGGGACCAGGGGGCCCAGCGCGUCCAGGUGGGCCGCGACCCGGGCGCCGGGCAUGCAGGGGGCGGCGAGGGCGGCGGCGGCCCGGCGAUCCCAGCGAUCUCAGCCGCUGCGGCGCCCGGGCGGCCGGCAAGGGGGCAGCUCAGCCAUGCAGGGACGCCCCGGGGGCUCGACCGAGGCGGCGCUGGGCCCCGGCGGUGCCCCCGCCGGUGUGCCGCGGCCUCUGCAGACGCUCCCUGGCCCCUGAAAAGCGCCCGGAGGGGUCCACGCACCCCCAGAUGUGCCCACACGACCCUCUCGAUCCUCCCGGCAGCCAGGGAGGCCCCCCUGAGGUGGCCGGCGGCUGCCCGGCUCCUCCGACGCGCCCCGCUCGCGCUCACUGGCCCUCCAAGAGCAGGCGGGGGCCCCACCGCAGCUCAGCGUCGAGGGCCAGUCCCGGCGGCUGUCUCUUCAGCCCCGCCCGGCAGUUCCUCGCGCCCCCUCCGCGGCCCCGCAGGCCCAGCACCCAUGGCUGCGGCCGCCGCGUCGCCCUCCUGGUCGCGUUCCGAGCACCGCCUCCCAAGCGGCCCCGCGCUCAUUGGCCAGCCGCCCGCUGCCCGCGCUCAUUGGCCUGCUCGACGCCCGCGGUCAUUGGUCCGAGACGUCCGGGGGAGGUACCGCUUCGCUCCGCCCCUCGGGGUGCUGGCCUCUGACUUGCUUUCCUGGUUCCGGGCUCCGCCCAGGUCUCAAAUCCAAUUCGUUCUGAGAAUCCCCCACGGAGUAGCGGGAGGGGAAAGAGACAGAACGCAGUUCGAACCUGCACGUAUCCUAAGGGCUACGAAAGCUGGAGGAAACC
This 1969-nucleotide long non-coding RNA is filed under the name Lynx pardinus (Iberian lynx). Lineage: Eukaryota; Metazoa; Chordata; Mammalia; Carnivora; Felidae. The record is from RNAcentral.